Molecule: ribosomal RNA, 429 nt
Filed under: Bacteroidota bacterium
Lineage: Bacteria; Pseudomonadati; Bacteroidota
Description: Bacteroidetes bacterium partial 16S ribosomal RNA
Rfam family: Bacterial small subunit ribosomal RNA
Source: RNAcentral
UAGGGAAUCUUCCGCAAUGGGCGAAAGCCUGACGGAGCAACGCCGCGUGAGUGAUGAAGGUCUUCGGAUCGUAAAACUCUGUUUUUAGGGAAGAACAAAUGUGUAAGUAACUAUGCACGUCUUGACGGUACCUAAUCAGAAAGCCACGGCUAACUACGUGCCAGCAGCCGCGGUAAUACGUAGGUGGCAAGCGUUAUCCGGAAUUAUUGGGCGUAAAGCGCGCGUAGGCGGUUUUUUAAGUCUGAUGUGAAAGCCCACGGCUCAACCGUGGAGGGUCGUUGGAAACUGGGAAACUUGAGUGCAGAAGAGGAAAGUGGAAUUCCAUGUGUAGCGGUGAAAUGCGCAGAGAUAUGGAGGAACACCAGUGGAGAAGGCGACUUUCUGGUCUGUAACUGACGCAGAUGUGCGAAAGCGUGGGAAUCAAACAGG